RNAcentral lists this transfer RNA (66 nucleotides) under Ptilodactylidae sp. 2 ACP-2013. RNAcentral's name for it is "tRNA-Pro". Lineage: Eukaryota; Metazoa; Arthropoda; Insecta; Coleoptera; Ptilodactylidae. The record is from RNAcentral.
AAAAAGUAGUUUAAUUUAAAAUAUUAAUUUUGGAGAUUAAUGAUAAGUAAUUUACUUUUUUUUGAU